This 492-nucleotide ribosomal RNA is filed under the name uncultured bacterium. RNAcentral's name for it is "partial 16S ribosomal RNA". It matches the Rfam family "Bacterial small subunit ribosomal RNA", at positions 29 to 507 of the family's 1533-position model. The record is from RNAcentral.
AGUGAACGCUGGCGGUAGGCCUAACACAUGCAAGUCGAACGGCAGCACAGUAAGAGCUUGCUCUUACGGGUGGCGAGUGGCGGACGGGUGAGGAAUACAUCGGAAUCUACUUUUUCGUGGGGGAUAACGUAGGGAAACUUACGCUAAUACCGCAUACGACCUACGGGUGAAAGCAGGGGAUCUUCGGACCUUGCGCGAUUGAAUGAGCCGAUGUCGGAUUAGCUAGUUGGCGGGGUAAAGGCCCACCAAGGCGACGAUCCGUAGCUGGUCUGAGAGGAUGGUCAGCCACACUGGAACUGAGACACGGUCCAGACUCCUACGGGAGGCAGCAGUGGGGAAUAUUGGACAAUGGGCGCAAGCCUGAUCCAGCCAUACCGCGUGGGUGAAGAAGGCCUUCGGGUUGUAAAGCCCUUUUGUUGGGAAAGAAAAGCAGCAGGUUAAUACCCCGCUGUUCUGACGGUGCCCAAAGAAUAAGCACCGGCUAACUUCGUG